RNAcentral lists this long non-coding RNA (205 nucleotides) under Elaeis guineensis (African oil palm). Its description in RNAcentral is "long non-coding RNA (EGUI_LNC026514)". The record is from RNAcentral. Lineage: Eukaryota; Viridiplantae; Streptophyta; Magnoliopsida; Arecales; Arecaceae.
GAAAAAUAUCACCAAACUUUUGGAUCUUCUCUGGCUUGGCAUCGACUGCUCUAUCAAAGAAGGGUCUGAAAUCUUAUUCUGGAAGGAAUCAUGGCUAGGCGAUCUCUCUCUUGAAAGUCUCUUCCCAAAUCUAUAUGAGGUUGCUGUAAACAAGAGCCAUGUCAAAUGAUACUCUUGUCAAAUGAUCUUAAUGAAUCUUCUCCUG